AACAGUCAUUUCAACAUCACCUGUAUAAGCCACACAAAGACAAUGGUUUACAAGAGAUUAAUUUAAAACAGCAAACACUGAACAGAACAAUCUACAGUAUUAAUAAGACAGUGUUUCAUAUGGUACCCUAUUCCCUAUGUAGUGCACUACUUUAGACAAGGGUACAUAGGGUAGUGCACCAGGGUCCAUAAGGUAGUGUACUACAUUAGACCGCGGACCAUAGUGUAGUGCACUACUUUAGACCAGGGUCCAUAAGGUAGAGUACUACAUUAGACCGCGGCCUAUAGGGUAGUGCACUACUUUAUUCCAGGGUCCAUAAGGUAGUGUACUACAUUAGACCGCGGACCAUAGUGUAGUGCACUACUUUAGACCAGGGUCCAUAAGGUAGAGUACUACAUUAGACCGCGGCCUAUAGGGUAGUGCACUACUUUAUUCCAGGGUCACUAUAUAGGGAAUAUGAUGCCAUUUGGGACACAACAGAUGAUUGACAGUCGGUAGAGGAGUCUAACCAGAAGUAGUUUAUAUGACCCUUUAUUUAUAAAGCCUCCACUCAACCAAGAUGGGCUAUUUACAAGUCAUUUGUUAGAAUGUUUCCUACUAAAAACAUAAUUCUUAAAUCUUUAUAAACUAUUUCCGUGUUUUAAACAAAUUAAAACCUAAAACUUAAUUUACAUCUUGUUUGGCAAAAAGGAAAAAUCGACUUCUACAAAAUGGGAUGAUCAAGACGUUGCGAAGUGAAAAUGAUAUUUAACCCAAAUCUAAUGUUACACAUUACAAAUCUAAUGUUACACAUGUUCAAUUGUGUUUACAAUGAGUUGAGUAGUUUCACAUUUUUUCCAAAAUCAAAAUGAACUAAAACAGAAAAGUUGGCCUAAAUUCCCCUCACUGCCAUUCAGGUAACAAUCGCCUGUCUUCUCACGGCCCUGUCAGGUAAUUCCUUUUAAGGAGAACGUAAAAGGUUCUAAGUUUGGGCCUUGAAUCUCAGGGAGUGGUUAUGAUUCAACUGAAAUGCCCAUUCUGUAGUUAGACGGUUUCCUAUAUGGUGAUUGAUCUGGUAAUAAAUGCAUCUUUCCCCCCUCAGUCUGAUCCCAGAUCUGUUUGUGGUCUUGGCCAACUGUCCUUGCUGUACUUGUCAAGCCCAACAUGUUUGAUACGACAGUGAGUGACAAGGAGUUGGUAUGACGGCACAAACAGACUGGGGAACCAGGCUAAAUCUAUCCCCCCACUGCAAAAGGGAACUGUUGUGGAGAAAUCACCCAAAGUCAUCAAGCCAAGCGAUCUAUAGUCAUGUUAAAAUACAAACAGGUCGCUAAGCAACGUGGUUCCUAAACAUACAUGUACAAUAAAAAGUGAUCAACUUGCCUGUUGUUAAUAAUGUUAAGACCACUGCAUGGGUUUAAACACCAUCACCUUAAUGUCCUGGGAUUCAUCCCAAAUGGAAUACUAUUCCCUAUCUAGAGCACUACUUUUGACCAGAGUUCUGGUCUAAAGUAGUUCACUAUAAAAGGGAGUAGGGUGCCAUUUAGGACGAAUCUCGGUUAGAAGAAGGAUUAAGUCAUUACUGUAUUACAAGGCAUCAGAAUAACCUUAAUUAAUAUAACCUUAAGGGGGCAGGUUCUCUAACAGUCUAGAACACAACAAAACAAAACA
Oncorhynchus tshawytscha (Chinook salmon) is the source of this 1650-nucleotide long non-coding RNA. RefSeq lists it as uncharacterized. Lineage: Eukaryota; Metazoa; Chordata; Actinopteri; Salmoniformes; Salmonidae. The record is from RefSeq and is a predicted model, not a curated record. The transcript has 2 exons.